GCUUGCUGCUUCGCUGACGAGUGGCGGACGGGUGAGUAAUGUCUGGGAAACUGCCUGAUGGAGGGGGAUAACUACUGGAAACGGUAGCUAAUACCGCAUAACGUCGCAAGACCAAAGAGGGGGACCUUCGGGCCUCUUGCCAUCGGAUGUGCCCAGAUGGGAUUAGCUAGUAGGUGGGGUAACGGCUCACCUAGGCGACGAUCCCUAGCUGGUCUGAGAGGAUGACCAGCCACACUGGAACUGAGACACGGUCCAGACUCCUACGGGAGGCAGCAGUGGGGAAUAUUGCACAAUGGGCGCAAGCCUGAUGCAGCCAUGCCGCGUGUAUGAAGAAGGCCUUCGGGUUGUAAAGUACUUUCAGCGGGGAGGAAGGGAGUAAAGUUAAUACCUUUGCUCAUUGACGUUACCCGCAGAAGAAGCACCGGCUAACUCCGUGCCAGCAGCCGCGGUAAUACGGAGGGUGCAAGCGUUAAUCGGAAUUACUGGGCGUAAAGCGCACGCAGGCGGUUUGUUAAGUCAGAUGUGAAAUCCCCGGGCUCAACCUGGGAACUGCAUCUGAUACUGGCAAGCUUGAGUCUCGUAGAGGGGGGUAGAAUUCCAUGGGUAAGCGGUGAAAGAUGACAAUGGAACUGCAUGUGUAGU
This 642-nucleotide ribosomal RNA is filed under the name bacterium. RNAcentral describes it as "bacterial SSU rRNA". It matches the Rfam family "Bacterial small subunit ribosomal RNA", at positions 78 to 718 of the family's 1533-position model. The record is from RNAcentral.